AAUCUAGCACUUUCAGUGUUCGAGUUGUAAUUUGAAGAAGGUAUCUUUGGAGUUGGCCCCUGUCUAUGUUCCUUGGAACAGGACGUCACAGAGGGUGAGAAUCCCGUGCGAUGGGGAGACCAAUUCUUUGUAAAGUUCCUUCGAAGAGUCGAGUUGUUUGGGAAUGCAGCUCUAAGUGGGUGGUAAAUUCCAUCUAAAGCUAAAUAUUGGCGAGAGACCGAUAGCGAACAAGUACAGUGAUGGAAAGAUGAAAAGAACUUUGAAAAGAGAGUGAAAAAGUACGUGAAAUUGUUGAAAGGGAAGGGCUUUUGAUCAGACUUGGUGUUUAACGAUCUCUUCUCCUUGUGGGAGGGGCUCUUGUUUUAUACUGGGCCAGCAUCGGUUUGGAUGGCAGGAUAAUGACAUUGGAACGUGGCUUCAUUCGUGAAGUGUUAUAGCCUUUGUUGAUACUGCCUAUCUAGACCGAGGACUGCGUCUUUGACUAGGAUGCUGGCGUAAUGAUUAAAAGCCGCCCGUCUUGAAACACGGACCAAGGAGUCUAACGUCUAUGCGAGUGUUUGGGUGUAAAACCCGUACGCGUAAUGAAAGUGAACGUAGGUGAGGGCCCGCAAGGGUGCAUCAUCGACCGAUCCUGAUGUUUUCAGAUGGAUUUGAGUAAGAGCAUAGCUGU
This 670-nucleotide ribosomal RNA is filed under the name Nakazawaea molendinolei. RNAcentral's name for it is "partial 26S ribosomal RNA". It matches the Rfam family "Eukaryotic large subunit ribosomal RNA", at positions 119 to 809 of the family's 3401-position model. Lineage: Eukaryota; Fungi; Ascomycota; Pichiomycetes; Alaninales; Pachysolenaceae. The record is from RNAcentral.